GGGUUGUGAGGUUAAGCGACUAAGCGUACACGGUGGAUGCCCUGGCAGUCAGAGGCGAUGAAGGGCGUGCUAAUCUGCGAUAAGCGCCGGUAAGGUGAUAUGAACCGUUAUAACCGGCGAUACCCGAAUGGGGAAACCCAGUGUGACUCGUCACACUAUCAUUAACUGAAUCCAUAGGUUAAUGAGGCGAACCGGGGGAACUGAAACAUCUAAGUACCCCGAGGAAAAGAAAUCAACCGAGAUUCCCCCAGUAGCGGCGAGCGAACGGGGAGGAGCCCAGAGCCUGAAUCAGCAUGUGUGUUAGUGGAAGCGUCUGGAAAGGCGCGCGAUACAGGGUGACAGCCCCGUACACAAAAGCGCAUGUGCUGUGAGCUCGAUGAGUAGGGCGGGACACGUGGUAUCCUGUCUGAAUAUGGGGGGACCAUCCUCCAAGGCUAAAUACUCCUGACUGACCGAUAGUGAACCAGUACCGUGAGGGAAAGGCGAAAAGAACCCCGGCGAGGGGAGUGAAAAAGAACCUGAAACCGUGUACGUACAAGCAGUGGGAGCNGUGACUGCGUACCUUUUGUAUAAUGGGUCAGCGACUUAUAUUCUGUAGCAAGGUUAACCGAAUAGGGGAGCCGGAGGGAAACCGAGUCUUAAUUGGGCGUUAAGUUGCAGGGUAUAGACCCGAAACCCGGUGAUCUAGCCAUGGGCAGGUUGAAGGUUGGGUAACACUAACUGGAGGACCGAACCGACUAAUGUUGAAAAAUUAGCGGAUGACCUGUGGCUGGGGGUGAAAGGCCAAUCAAACCGGGAGAUAGCUGGUUCUCCCCGAAAGCUAUUUAGGUAGCGCCUCGUGAAUUCAUCUCCGGGGGUAGAGCACUGUUUCGGCUAGGGGGCCAUCCCGGCUUACCAACCCGAUGCAAACUGCGAAUACCGGAGAAUGUUAUCACGGGAGACACACGGCGGGUGCUAACGUCCGUCGUGAAGAGGGAAACAACCCAGACCGCCAGCUAAGGUCCCAAAGUCAUGGUUAAGUGGGAAACGAUGUGGGAAGGCCCAGACAGCCAGGAUGUUGGCUUAGAAGCAGCCAUCAUUUAAAGAAAGCGUAAUAGCUCACUGGUCGAGUCGGCCUGCGCGGAAGAUGUAACGGGGCUAAACCAUGCACCGAAGCUGCGGCAGCGACACUCAGGUGUUGUUGGGUAGGGGAGCGUUCUGUAAGCCUGUGAAGGUGGCCUGUGAGGGUUGCUGGAGGUAUCAGAAGUGCGAAUGCUGACAUAAGUAACGAUAAAGCGGGUGAAAAGCCCGCUCGCCGGAAGACCAAGGGUUCCUGUCCAACGUUAAUCGGGGCAGGGUGAGUCGACCCCUAAGGCGAGGCCGAAAGGCGUAGUCGAUGGGAAACGGGUUAAUAUUCCCGUACUUGGUGUUACUGCGAAGGGGGGACGGAGAAGGCUAUGUUGGCCGGGCGACGGUUGUCCCGGUUUAAGCGUGUAGGUGUGUGUUCCAGGUAAAUCCGGUUCACUUUAACACUGAGGCGUGAUGACGAGGCACUACGGUGCUGAAGCAACAAAUGCCCUGCUUCCAGGAAAAGCCUCUAAGCAUCAGGUAACAUCAAAUCGUACCCCAAACCGACACAGGUGGUCAGGUAGAGAAUACCAAGGCGCUUGAGAGAACUCGGGUGAAGGAACUAGGCAAAAUGGUGCCGUAACUUCGGGAGAAGGCACGCUGACANGGAGCUGAAGUCAGUCGAAGAUACCAGCUGGCUGCAACUGUUUAUUAAAAACACAGCACUGUGCAAACACGAAAGUGGACGUAUACGGUGUGACGCCUGCCCGGUGCCGGAAGGUUAAUUGAUGGGGUCAGCGCAAGCGAAGCUCCUGAUCGAAGCCCCGGUAAACGGCGGCCGUAACUAUAACGGUCCUAAGGUAGCGAAAUUCCUUGUCGGGUAAGUUCCGACCUGCACGAAUGGCGUAAUGAUGGCCAGGCUGUCUCCACCCGAGACUCAGUGAAAUUGAACUCGCUGUGAAGAUGCAGUGUACCCGCGGCAAGACGGAAAGACCCCGUGAACCUUUACUAUAGCUUGACACUGAACAUUGAGCCUUGAUGUGUAGGAUAGGUGGGAGGCUUUGAAGUGUGGACGCCAGUCUGCAUGGAGCCGACCUUGAAAUACCACCCUUUAAUGUUUGAUGUUCUAACGUGGACCCGU
RNAcentral lists this ribosomal RNA (2188 nucleotides) under Salmonella enterica subsp. enterica serovar Infantis. Its description in RNAcentral is "partial 23S ribosomal RNA". It matches the Rfam family "Bacterial large subunit ribosomal RNA", at positions 1 to 2236 of the family's 2925-position model. Lineage: Bacteria; Pseudomonadati; Pseudomonadota; Gammaproteobacteria; Enterobacterales; Enterobacteriaceae. The record is from RNAcentral.